This 481-nucleotide ribosomal RNA is filed under the name uncultured bacterium. Its description in RNAcentral is "bacterial SSU rRNA". It matches the Rfam family "Bacterial small subunit ribosomal RNA", at positions 26 to 507 of the family's 1533-position model. The record is from RNAcentral.
GACUCCGUGGCUCGAAGGACGAACGCUGGCGGCGUGCUUAACACAUGCAAGUCGAACGGAGUUAAGGAGCUUGCUUCUUAACUUAGUGGCGAACGGGUGAGUAACGCGUGAGGAACCUGCCUUUCAGAGGGGGACAACAGUUGGAAACGACUGCUAAUACCGCAUGAUACUUGCGAAUGGCAUCAUUUGCAAGUCAAAGAUUUAUCGCUGAAAGAUGGCCUCGCGUCUGAUUAGCUAGUUGUGGGGUAACGGCCCACCAAGGCGACGAUCAGUAGCCGGACUGAGAGGUUGACCGGCCACAUUGGGACUGAGAUACGGCCCAGACUCCUACGGGAGGCAGCAGUGGGGAAUAUUGGGCAAUGGGCGAAAGCCUGACCCAGCGACGCCGCGUGAGGGAAGAAGGUCUUCGGAUUGUAAACCUUUGUUGACAGGGAAGAAGAAAGUGACGGUACCUGUAAAGAAAGCCACGGCUAACUACGUG